Molecule: ribosomal RNA, 596 nt
Filed under: Trichoderma harzianum
Lineage: Eukaryota; Fungi; Ascomycota; Sordariomycetes; Hypocreales; Hypocreaceae
Description: eukaryotic LSU rRNA
Rfam family: 5.8S ribosomal RNA (bases 237-390)
Source: RNAcentral
UUUUUCCCUGGGGGGGGGUAUGGGAGGGAUCAUUACCGAGUUUACAACUCCCAAACCCAAUGUGAACGUUACCAAACUGUUGCCUCGGCGGGAUCUCUGCCCCGGGUGCGUCGCAGCCCCGGACCAAGGCGCCCGCCGGAGGACCAACCAAAACUCUUAUUGUAUACCCCCUCGCGGGUUUUUUUAUAAUCUGAGCCUUCUCGGCGCCUCUCGUAGGCGUUUCGAAAAUGAAUCAAAACUUUCAACAACGGAUCUCUUGGUUCUGGCAUCGAUGAAGAACGCAGCGAAAUGCGAUAAGUAAUGUGAAUUGCAGAAUUCAGUGAAUCAUCGAAUCUUUGAACGCACAUUGCGCCCGCCAGUAUUCUGGCGGGCAUGCCUGUCCGAGCGUCAUUUCAACCCUCGAACCCCUCCGGGGGGUCGGCGUUGGGGAUCGGCCCUGCCUUGGCGGUGGCCGUCUCCGAAAUACAGUGGCGGUCUCGCCGCAGCCUCUCCUGCGCAGUAGUUUGCACACUCGCAUCGGGAGCGCGGCGCGUCCACAGCCGUUAAACACCCAACUUCUGAAAUGUGACCUCGGAUCAUGUAGAAUCCCCACUUCC